RNAcentral lists this ribosomal RNA (903 nucleotides) under marine metagenome. RNAcentral describes it as "bacterial SSU rRNA". It matches the Rfam family "Bacterial small subunit ribosomal RNA", at positions 8 to 926 of the family's 1533-position model. The record is from RNAcentral.
AGAGUUUGAUUCUGGCUCAGGACGAACGCUGGCGGUGCGCCUAAUGCAUGCAAGUCUACUACUUGUGACUUCGGUCACGCUAUAGUGGUGGCAGACGGCUUAGUAACACGUAAGUAAUCUACCCUCAAGUGGGGGAUAAUCCGAAGAAAUUCGGCCCAAUACCCCAUAAUGUUUUAGUAUAUAUGUAUUGAAAAGAAAGAUUUAUCGCUUUUGGAGGAGCUUGCGGCCUAUCAGGUAGUUGGUAAGGGUAAUGGCCUACCAAGCCUAAGACGGGUAACCGAAGUGAGAGCUUGAUCGGUAAGAGGGGGACUGAGACACGGCCCCCACUCCUACGGGAGGCAGCAGCAGGGAAUCUUGCGCAAUGGACUGUAUGGUCUGACGCAGCGACACCGCGUGGGGGAAGAAGGCUUUCGGGUCGUAAACCCCUUUUCUCGGGGAAGAGUGAGGACGGUACCCGAGGAAUAAGCCUCGGCUAACUACGUGCCAGCAGCCGCGAUAAUACGUAGGAUGCGAGCGUUGUCCGGAAUUAUUGGGCGUAAAGGGCGUCUAGGUUGAUUGAUAAGUCCUGUGUGAAAUCUCUUGGCUCAACCAAGAAAUGUCACAGGAAACUAUUAAUCUAGAGGUCAUCAGAGGUAAGUGGAAUUCACGGAGUAGUGGUGAAAUGCGUAGAUACCGUGAGGAACACCAGAGGCGAAAGCGGCUUACUAGGAUGAACCUGACACUAAAGCGCGAAAGCGUGGGUAGCAAACCGGAUUAGAUACCCGGGUAGUCCACGCUGUAAACGAUGAAUACUAGGUUUUCGGGGUAUCGACCCCCUGUGAGCCGUAGCUAACGCGAUAAGUAUUCCGCCUGGGGACUACGGUCGCAAGACUAAAACUCAAAGGAAUUGACGGGGGCCCGCAC